RNAcentral lists this ribosomal RNA (497 nucleotides) under uncultured bacterium. RNAcentral's name for it is "partial 16S ribosomal RNA". It matches the Rfam family "Bacterial small subunit ribosomal RNA", at positions 28 to 507 of the family's 1533-position model. The record is from RNAcentral.
GACGAACGCUGGCGGCGUGCCUAAUACAUGCAAGUAGAACGCUGAAGAGAGGAGCUUGCUCUUCUUGGAUGAGUUGCGAACGGGUGAGUAACGCGUAGGUAACCUGCCUUGUAGCGGGGGAUAACUAUUGGAAACGAUAGCUAAUACCGCAUAACAAUAGGUGACACAUGUCAUUUAUUUGAAAGGGGCAAUUGCUCCACUACAAGAUGGACCUGCGUUGUAUUAGCUAGUAGGUGAGGUAACGGCUCACCUAGGCGACGAUACAUAGCCGACCUGAGAGGGUGGUCGGCCACACUGGGACUGAGACACGGCCCAGACUGCUACGGGAGGCAGCAGUAGGGCAUCUUCGGCAAUGGGGGCAACACUGACCGCGCAACGCCGCGUGAGUGAAGAAGGUUGUCGGGUCGUAAAGCUCUGUUGUAAGUCAAGAACGAGUGUGAGAGUGGAAAGUUCACACUGUGACGGUAGCUUACCAGAAAGGGACGGCUAACUACGUG